AAUCAACGCUGGCGGCGUGCCUCAGACAUGCAAGUCGAACGCGAAAGGCUCCUUCGGGGGCCGAGUAGAGUGGCGCACGGGUGAGUAACACGUAGGUAAUCUACCUUUGGGUGGGGAAUAACAGCCGGAAACGGCUGCUAAUACCGCAUAAUGCAGCGGCUCGACAUCGAGACAGUUGUUAAAGCGGGGGAUUCGCAAGAACCUCGCGCCUAAAGAGGAGCCUGCGGCAGAUUAGCUAGUUGGUAGGGUAAUGGCCUACCAAGGCGACGAUCUGUAACCGGCCUGAGAGGGCGGUCGGCCACACUGACACUGACAUACGGGUCAGACUCCUACGGGAGGCAGCAGUCGGGAAUUUUGGGCAAUGGGCGAAAGCCUGACCCAGCAACGCCGCGUGAAGGAU
RNAcentral lists this ribosomal RNA (400 nucleotides) under uncultured bacterium. RNAcentral describes it as "bacterial SSU rRNA". It matches the Rfam family "Bacterial small subunit ribosomal RNA", at positions 32 to 409 of the family's 1533-position model. The record is from RNAcentral.